RNAcentral lists this ribosomal RNA (467 nucleotides) under uncultured bacterium. Its description in RNAcentral is "partial 16S ribosomal RNA". It matches the Rfam family "Bacterial small subunit ribosomal RNA", at positions 28 to 506 of the family's 1533-position model. The record is from RNAcentral.
GACGAACGCUGGCGGCGUGCUUAACACAUGCAAGUCGAACGGAAAGGCCCUGCUUUUGUGGGGUGCUCGAGUGGCGAACGGGUGAGUAACACGUGAGUAACCUGCCCUUGACUUUGGGAUAACUUCAGGAAACUGGGGCUAAUACCGGAUAGGAGCUCCUGCUGCAUGGUGGGGGUUGGAAAGUUUCGGCGGUUGGGGAUGGACUCGCGGCUUAUCAGCUUGUUGGUGGGGUAGUGGCUUACCAAGGCUUUGACGGGUAGCCGGCCUGAGAGGGUGACCGGCCACAUUGGGACUGAGAUACGGCCCAGACUCCUACGGGAGGCAGCAGUGGGGAAUAUUGCACAAUGGGCGGAAGCCUGAGGCAGCAACGCCGCGUGCGGGACGACGGCCUUCGGGUUGUAAACCGCUUUCGCCUGUGACGAAGCGUGAGGGACGGGAAUGGGUAAAGAAGCACCGGCUAACUACGU